Non-coding RNA from Odocoileus virginianus texanus, 547 nucleotides. NCBI's taxonomy places the organism in Eukaryota, Metazoa, Chordata, Mammalia, Artiodactyla, Cervidae. The record is from RefSeq and is a predicted model, not a curated record.
AUCGCCUCCAGGGGGAUGUCACGUGCAGGUGCCCUGGGAACACAGGACUGUCUCGUUUCUUAUGAGUCAUUGUUUAUAAGCUAAAGAUGGAGGUCAGACUGUAAGCAACGACUGAUGCUAGUUUUGCAACCUAACGAUACACCCUGAACUUCAUUCUUCAAUCUGUUUUCCCACAACGACAUUUUCCAACGACCAACGGUUGAGCUCUGUUUGGGGCCCAUCAGGCAGGGAUGUCAUGCCCAAUGGACUCAGCCUGAAACAGGGCCUCAUGGGCCUGCCCCGGGGGCCACCGAAGUCAGAAGGCGGCAGCGGCUAGCGCCCAGUGCUCCCCGGAGGGAGGCGUUUUCCUGAAGUCAAGAAUAUAAAAAUCAUCGUCCUUCAAAAAGCAGUAUCUCUUCCAUGAGCACCAGUCCCUGGACUAACAAGACUUGUCUGUGGAUUGACUUAUUUCACAACAGCCAUGUAAAAAACUAAGCGCAUGUAAAAAGGUACAGCGAUGCAGGGAGAAUGUUCUGAGGUGAAUGUCAUAAAGCUCAGGUGUUAUCUU